Zonotrichia leucophrys gambelii is the source of this 1637-nucleotide long non-coding RNA. RefSeq lists it as uncharacterized. Lineage: Eukaryota; Metazoa; Chordata; Aves; Passeriformes; Passerellidae. The record is from RefSeq and is a predicted model, not a curated record. The transcript has 3 exons.
GGAAAGCCAAGUCACUCAGUGAUACUCACACCCAGCUCCUCUGCUCCAGCCAGGCAAGAGGGGGGGACAGUGAGAAACACAAGGUGACAUGUAUUGAAGUAAACAGGGCUACUGUGUGCAUUAGACUGGCCCUGCACUUAAAUCUGGACAGGAUUAAGAGCCUAUGUGCCAUUUACCACAGGAGAAACCCAGAAACAACUCAGAAAGAGGAAUGUGCUGCAACUACUCCUCAACACCCAUAAAAAGAGUCUGACAAGAAGGAUCUGCAGAACCCCAAAGACUUGACUGUGUAGCUCCUUAAGGAUGCAAAUGGAAAAGACACUGAAGCAGAGAAGAGGCAGAGGGAUGAUGGUGGGAUGGACAUGUUAGAGAAGCAAAGAGCCAUUCCAGGAAUCUUGUGCAAGGCUGGGACCACUCAAGCAAGGGCAGGAUCUUGUGGGAAAGAAGAUGCAUAAUGACACAGUAGAAACUGGAGAGACAACUUCUUGGUUCCACUCAGAGAGGUGGUAGAAGAGGAAAAAAGAAAAACCUCUUAGAUACCAAACAAGUCAAGGGCUGCCUAUCUGGGAAAUAAAAGGCCUGAGUUGUUCUGAAGCACUGUGAAUGCUUUGAAAGGAGCAACACAGAUUUCUUUACUAGUAAUUGUAUGAAAUUAGUGCCCACCAAGAUAUAGGCCUCUGAAAAAUGUAAUUAUUGAAUUUUGCAUCCUAAUUGUUUUGCUCCAUGGUAGUACAUAUUUUUGAGGGAAACAUACUCAAGUGAGUUCAAGAGAACGCACAUAUUAAUUGAAUACGUGCUUUAAUUAAAUUUUUGAGACACAAUUAAAUACUUAAGAUACAAACAAUUGCUUGUAAUUCCAUUUCUGGAACAAAUGAAUUGUCCAACAUAUGGAAUUUUCUUUCACAGUCCUUUUUCAUGCUCAGUAGUGUUGCUGCAUAACUGCAGUUUUACUGAGGUCCUAAUUACUCAGUACCAUCAUACAGGAAUGGACUGCUAAAAUACAGAGCAGAAUUUCUUCCUCAGGGCAACUAAUGUGUUGGAACAACAAUGUGAAUUCUUUUCAUGUCUUGAAAAAGAACAUACCCAACAGCCUAAAAGCCUUCAGGGGGUAGAAUCUGAAUGUCCUAGUGAUGAAUACUUAAAUAAGAAUUUACAGGAGCAAGUGUCAUUGAGGAAUUCCUAUUACAGGCACAACACAGCUGCAGUGUUACUUUUCUUUUAUCAAGAUCUACUUACAUUGUAAAAAAUUCAUAGCUGCAAGCAAAAUUAAAGCACUUUUUACCUUCUUAAGGUCAUGGGUAGGCAGAAAGAUGCAGCUGAGUAGCUGUCAGUGCACACAAAAAAGAAUGCAGUACUUCCUUUUGGAAAACUGAAAACAAAUUUUGGCUGUUUUUUUAUUUGUUAUCAUCAAGGUGUGGCAGCAAAGGAAAGAUCCUUCCGUAAACUGUCUUAUUGUUGAAUAAAACCUGGGAAAUUCCACCACGGGUCAAAAGAGACAGAUAUACUUCACAGCAUAAAAAUGGUUUGCCACAGUUGCCUUUAAAACAAUGCAUCACAUGCCUCGUUGUGGUGAUACCAUGGUACUGCACUCCAUCUUUUUGGCAUUGGCUUAGAUUUUAUCCAAAAAAAAAAAAAAA